UGGUCUUGUCUUUCAUAUCUCUUCAGGAACAGCAAACAAGAUAACAUGAGAACAUCAGACCACUUGCCGCCUGGAAAAAAAUGAAUCUUUGUAGAAGAAAUUUACAGAAAAUUCUCUUUAUAGAGCCACUCCAUACCAAACAUGUCAUAUGAAUUGAACAAGAGUUCCCUGCAGUGACUGCAGAAAAUAAACAGUAACAGCUUCAACAGAAAGGACUCAGUAUGACACUGCUAUUACGGUAUGACAUACCCAAGGAUGAUCAGGCCUUUGGAAGGGGAAAGAAAAGACUUUGUCCUGCCUCUGUGAAUGAUCCUCUGUUCCAAAAUAAACAGCUUGACUGUAAACCAAGGUGUUCCUGCAGCAGCUCACAUCUUGUGGGUUUGGAGACAGAGAAAGUGUUUGGGAAGUCUCAGGAGAGAAUCUUUUAAAGAUAGUUGACUGUACAAGAAAGAAUAAGCAGAUCCUAAGAAGAGAAUGCAGUGUCCGUAGAAAAUACUUUACAUCCCUGGAAAAAUACUUAAUAUACACGUCUCUCUCUCAGCCUUAGUCUCUAGUAACAGAGACAAAUGAAACUACAACUAUCAACAAGAUAUGAAGGAAUAUAUACACUCAUUAUUUCACUCAGUUAUGCUUCAAACCCUAAUUUUCCUACCAGCUGCAGAUUUUGAUUUACAGAGACCUUUAUGGCUACUAUCUUGGUUUCCUUAGAAACCACCUUAGACUUACUCUCCAUGUUUUACAAGAAAAAAGCCAAAUCACCUGAGUUUUUUUUUGGAGCCUGGAUGUGGUCUCUGAAGGUACUGGUGGAAGAGCUGUUUUGAUGGACAGCCCUUACAUCAGGUAAUUUUUAAUAUUUUUUUUCUAAAUGGAUUCAUUUUAAUGAUGGUUCAAGCAUGCUUUGCCAUGAAUCCAUCUUUGUAAUUGGGAGAUUAACCUAUUCAGGCUGUUCAUAGAGCUGAUGAAGUUCAAUUUGUUUGACAAUGGCUGGUACAUUAUAUAUAUUUAUAUUGGUCCAUUUGCCCCAGAAUAACCAAUGUAUUUAACAAAGAAUCUAUUUUUGUUUAUAUCUUGGUGUGUCCUUAUAUUUUAUUUUGAUGCUGUUGGUUCUUUUCAUUUAAAAAAAGGAUAUUUGAUAUGGCAAGGUUCAAGUGUCAAGGCCUACAAUGUUUGGCAUAUUUGUAAAGAAUCUGGAAAAAAAGAAAAGUGACUGUGCCAAUGCUGAUAAACUGCAACAUAAGACUGUAGAACUGCUGGUGUAUUCAUGAUACUGAGACAAUAAAAUGACAGAUGACAUUCA
Molecule: long non-coding RNA, 1297 nt
Organism: Cyanistes caeruleus (blue tit)
Lineage: Eukaryota; Metazoa; Chordata; Aves; Passeriformes; Paridae
Source: Ensembl